CCCACUGCUGGCUCCGAGGUAUCGAUUAGCGAUCAGAGUCCAUUCCCCACCCAGGGGCGGGAAACAGCCGCCUCCUCCAAUGGUCAUCUCGGGGCCGCACCUGGAACUUCCGCCACAGCCCCCUCCCGGGGCAUCCGCCCACCCCGGCUUUACCUACGAUUCCAGCGAGUAGCAGGCAGAACAAAAGCAAAAGCCGGUCGGACUUGCGAUUGCUUUUCUGAUAGACAGCAACCCAGGAGGAGGCUGGGGGAGCCGGCCCGGGACCCAGGACGUCAAACCCGAGCCGCUGCCCUCUCCAGCAGGCUGGGGCUCUGGGUCGCCGGGCGGGGAAAGCGGCGGGGUCCCCCCACUCCCCUUCUCCCAGGGGCUACCGACCGGGAGUGUGGGCGCCUCGGUCGGGUGGCGAAGGAAGAGGGCUCUGUAUCAACCCUUGAACAAGGAAGGGAGAGGCUGGAAGGGAGGAUAAUCGGGGACUGGGGCAGACCCCGCAACCGCGAUCCAAAUCUGAACUCGCAGUGUGAACCGCCCCUCGGCGACCCCAAGCGCUCGGGACUGUCCCCGGGGGUGGGGUCCCCUCGCGGGGCCCGGCCCCUGCGUCCUCCUCCUCUAAACACACCGCAGGGAGCCCAGCUGCAACCUCCCAUCCCAAACGGGUCGGGGACAGCACUGGCGCGCGGUCCGCGGGCGAGGAGGUCACCCAGGGCAGCCGGGCGGGUCCCGCGGGAGACCCCCGCCGCUCGGACACUCGCUAGUUUGGCAGUGGCUUGGCCUGGGGGGCUUACUGUUAGGGUGAGGUGGGGAGGCAGACAGUGCGAGGAAGUCUCAUCUCUUCUCCGCUUCUCCGGAGCCCGCCGAACUCCAAGAGGCGCAGGCGGCGGGAGGAGAAAGCCAGCGGAGGGGGAGCCACUUACCGAGGCAGAGCCCGAGAGCGCGACGGCCCGGGCACGAGCCGCCCUUUGUCUGCGGCUGCGUCGCCGGCGCGCUCGGCCAGGCCGGUCCCAGCCCUGGCGCGCGGUGAGCUCCCGCGGGCGCCCCGACAGCCCGGCUCGCUGCUCCCGCUCGGGCUCGGGCUCCGGCCCCGGCCCCCGCCUGGGCUGCCGCUGCCGCGGCUCCGCCCCGAGCCGGGCCCCGCCCCCACCCGCUGGGCCCCCACCUGCUGCGGCGGUGGCGCUGGGGAGCCGGGCCCUGGGCGCCGGGGGGCGGCCGCCUCGCGCGCGCCCCGCUCUGCCCUCCCGAAGCCUCCAGGCCGCUCGGCCGCGCGGUCCCGGGGCCUUCCCGGACCCAGCCCCGCGGAGACGAGCUCACCUGGGGAGCCGAGCCCCGUCCGGGGGUAGCCUGGCCUUCCCGAGGCACACGCGGUAG
RNAcentral lists this long non-coding RNA (1362 nucleotides) under Papio anubis (olive baboon). Its description in RNAcentral is "lncRNA (ENSPANG00000046402.1)". Lineage: Eukaryota; Metazoa; Chordata; Mammalia; Primates; Cercopithecidae. The record is from RNAcentral.